This 508-nucleotide ribosomal RNA is filed under the name uncultured Chrysophyceae. RNAcentral describes it as "SSU rRNA". It matches the Rfam family "Eukaryotic small subunit ribosomal RNA", at positions 451 to 961 of the family's 1831-position model. The record is from RNAcentral. Lineage: Eukaryota; Chrysophyceae.
CUGACACAGGGAGGUAGUGACAAUAAAUAACAAUGCCGGGCUUUUAUAAGUCUGGCAAUUGGAAUGAGAACAAUUUAAAUCCCUUAUCGAGGAUCAAUUGGAGGGCAAGUCUGGUGCCAGCAGCCGCGGUAAUUCCAGCUCCAAUAGCGUAUACUAAAGUUGUUGCAGUUAAAAAGCUCGUAGUUGAAUUUCUGGUCUUGGACGGCGGUCUACCACAAUUGUGGUACGUACCAACUGUCCGAGUCCAUCCUCGGGGAAAACAUGCCUGUGAUUCAGUUCAUGGGUAUGGGAUCCUCGUCAUUUACUGUGAGCAAAAUAGAGUGUUCAAAGCAGGCUUAUGCCGUUGAAUACAUUAGCAUGGAAUAAUAAGAUAGGACCUUGGUCUAUUUUGUUGGUUUGUACUCCAAGGUAAUGAUUAAUAGGGAUAGUUGGGGGUAUUCGUAUUCAAUUGUCAGAGGUGAAAUUCUUGGAUUUAUGGAAGACGAACUACUGCGAAAGCAUUUACCAA